RNAcentral lists this long non-coding RNA (670 nucleotides) under Pan troglodytes (chimpanzee). RNAcentral's name for it is "lincRNA". The record is from RNAcentral. Lineage: Eukaryota; Metazoa; Chordata; Mammalia; Primates; Hominidae.
GACUUCCUCCCCACAGUGAGCUAAAAGGACACUUUUGUCAGAGUGGGGAAAUAAAAGGGCUUUAUGGGAAGGAAGAUAAGAACAGAUGAGUCAGAGGUUUCUGCUUAAUGGUGGUACAGCCAAGCAGACAGGCAAGUGGCCAUACUGCUGCUGCCUCAUGUAGGAUCCGGCAGGCUGGUGGGUUAUCAGUCCUCACGUGGGACCCUCCCACCAUGGCAGCUGAGCACAUCCAAGCUGGGGGAUCCUGAAGAGACCUUCACCUGGGUGCCACGUGGAAGAUUGGCCAGCACCAUUUUGACUCCUGUGGAUGGGUGAGUGUUUUGCCCACCCCCACCCCAAUAACAUCAGCACCCAAACUGCACCUGGUCACCUGUCUACAUUCAGAUUUGGAUGAAAGCCACACCAUGGAGGCAGCCAGAGGCCCAUGGGAGAUGUCUGGAUUCGCAGAGCAAUAGCUCCAUGUGAUGCAAACCUUGACUAAUGGGAACAGGAAAAGGGAGGAAACCAGGAAGAUAAAUCUCCCUCCCUUCUCAUUGCUCCUUGCAACCCUUCCCACUUGAAGCAUGACCACAUUUAAUGAACAACCUGCUGUGUCUCUUGGAAGCUUGCUGCAAGGCAGCAAUCAGCACAAUAACAUUGUACUGUAUCUUCCUCUGCUUCACUUCUCUUC